RNAcentral lists this small RNA (500 nucleotides) under Rattus norvegicus (Norway rat). Its description in RNAcentral is "uncharacterized LOC103690865". The record is from RNAcentral. Lineage: Eukaryota; Metazoa; Chordata; Mammalia; Rodentia; Muridae.
AUAGACCAUGUAUGAACCAUCACUGACAGCUAGCAAGACUUAAUACAUGGAUUACUCUAGGAUGUGGGUAUGGGCCUUGGAUAGGGUGGGGCAGGGAAGGAUGUGUCAUAGAAGGAAAGGUGAUAUCAUACCUUCAGCAGGGGAAGUGAUUCCCCUCUGAAGGAGGCUGCAGAGUAGUGGAGUACAGCCUGAUUCACAAAAGGCUACAAGAAAGUUCAGGCUGAAGAUAGAGACGCAGGAGGGGAGACAGAGAGGAGUCUAUUCAGAAUAGAGAAUGUCAGGAUGUCUAAGGAGCAGGGGAGGCUCAGAGGCAGCUGUGUCACCAAAGCAACACUCCAGGAUGAUCGAGGACUCCAGAAAGCUGCAGCCUGAGAGAUCUCUGCAGGACUCGUAGGCCAUGCCAUAGGAUGUGCAGGGAUAAAGAUGGAGCAGAGAUUGAGAGAAUGGCCGACCAAUGACUGCCCAAGGACUUCCUGAACUCUGCCUGAUGUUUGGCUGUG